RNAcentral lists this long non-coding RNA (1404 nucleotides) under Vulpes vulpes (red fox). Its description in RNAcentral is "lncRNA (ENSVVUG00000015440.1)". The record is from RNAcentral. Lineage: Eukaryota; Metazoa; Chordata; Mammalia; Carnivora; Canidae.
AUGGACACCGCCCGGGGAAUGUGCAGAGGUCAGGCCGGGGCGUCGAGGGCGGGGUGGGGAGGGCUCCUGGCACAGGCACAGGUCCCGAGCCUGCCUCCCCGGCCGAGGGGACGGACAGAGUGUGGAAGGACGUCAGGCUGGGAGGCCUUGGGGGGCGGGGGGAUGCGUUCCCAGGAAGGGCAGGGGUCGGCUCAGGGGAGAGCGGGCGGGGGGGGGGUGUGCACAGGACGAUGUGAGCCCAGCCCGGAGCCCGGGGGAGGGUCUGUGGGGGCUUCUCUGGGGGAGGCAGCAGGUGACUGCAGAGAGGGGUCCUGCUGGCCGGCCUGGGGGGAGCCCCGGGGGGGACGGGGCGUGAGGGAGGCAGGCGCCCCGCGGGCCAGCAGGGCCUCGAGCCACCCACUUCCUGUGACGGGCCAGGCCAUCUGGGAUCCGGAAAUUAAGCCGGCCCUUCCAAUCCCCUCUGGGUCUCCGUGUUCCCGGGGUUUAACAGAACGUCCAGGCCUCCCUCAGCAGAGCCCCACGUUCCUGCCCCGGGAAGGGGAAGGUGCUCGCAGGCCGCUGGCCGCAGGCCCCCGAAUCUCGAAGCUCGGAGGCUUUGGGCAGGGUCCCACCACGAAGCGGGCUCGGGGGCUGUGGCUCACCUUCCCUGAGAACCGGCGAGCCCCCCCNNNNNNNNNNNNNNNNNNNNNNNNNNNNNNNNNNNNNNNNNNNNNNNNNNNNNNNNNNNNNNNNNNGGGCGCGGGGGGGGGGAGGGGGGGGGGGGGGGGGACCAGAGGGCUCUGCCCUGACUUGCCCCGGGGUCCUCCCGGGAGCCUCUGCCCACAGCCGGGGUGCUUGGGAGGGCCAGCUGGUCCCUCUGCCCCCGGGGAAGCACUCGGGGCCCUGCCUGACUCGGCCUGGCCAGCUCCAGACUCCGUGGUCCUGUCCCCCCGCAGAGCUCGGCCACUCCUCCGUGUGGCCCAGCCCCCCCACCUGCCUGUCCUUGGCGGCGACCCCCGGGUUCCCGCGGACAGCUGCGGGCCCUCCCUGCGGGCUCCCCCCUGCACCUGCCCACUCUGCCCUCCCGGCCAGCCCGGGGCUCCCCGAGGGCACCUGCCUGCCAGCAGCCACAGCACUUGCCGAGGCCCGCUGGCGCCACGAGGUCAGAGCCCCUGGAGGUCAGCUUCUCUGUUGCAAAUUUGUCCGUCAUGUUCCAGGAGGGCAGGGGACCUCGCAGCUUGGUCUGGGGAAGGGGGCUCUCAGGCCCCCGCGCUCCUCUGUGGGAUGGAGCGGUGUCGUCCAGGACGGAGGAGGAACAGGUCAUGGGUGGGGGAGGACGGUGGCCCGAGGGCUCAGCCAGACCCACGUGCCCAAGACCCAGUGAACAGAACCACCUGCCCGGAAGCAGUUCUGGGACCACGAUGA